Molecule: ribosomal RNA, 492 nt
Filed under: uncultured bacterium
Lineage: Bacteria
Description: partial 16S ribosomal RNA
Rfam family: Bacterial small subunit ribosomal RNA
Source: RNAcentral
AGUGAACGCUGGCGGUAGGCCUAACACAUGCAAGUCGAACGGCAGCACAGUAAGAGCUUGCUCUUACGGGUGGCGAGUGGCGGACGGGUGAGGAAUACAUCGGAAUCUACUUUUUCGUGGGGGAUAACGUAGGGAAACUUACGCUAAUACCGCAUACGACCUACGGGUGAAAGCAGGGGAUCUUCGGACCUUGCGCGACUGAAUGAGCCGAUGUCGGAUUAGCUAGUUGGCGGGGUAAAGGCCCACCAAGGCGACGAUCCGUAGCUGGUCUGAGAGGAUGAUCAGCCACACUGGAACUGAGACACGGUCCAGACUCCCACGGGAGGCAGCAGUGGGGAAUAUUGGACAAUGGGCGCAAGCCUGAUCCAGCCAUACCGCGUGGGUGAAGAAGGCCUUCGGGUUGUAAAGCCCUUUUGUUGGGAAAGAAAAGCAGCAGGUUAAUACCCCGCUGUUCUGACGGUACCCAAAGAAUAAGCACCGGCUAACUUCGUG